ACUAGAAGAAAGAAGAGGAAGCAGCAAGUGCAAGGCCCUCCUGCAGCAGGAGGGAGCAUAGCACAUUCAAGGAAAAGAAGCCAGCAGUGUGGAUUACAGAGGAAGAGUGCAGCACGAGGGCAGUGGCUUGAGAUGAGGCCAGAGAGGAGGGCACGCAGGACCAAGGGGACCAAGGCAAGGAUUUUGGUGUCCAUCAAAUUGGAGAGUGCUGAGCAGGGGAGGGGUAACCGUGUAAUUGCCUUUCUCAAAUGCCCGUUUUACCGUAGCAAGGAUAGACUGGUAGAAGCAAGGGAUGAACUGGAGAGAUGAGUGAGGAAGCUGCUCCAGAAGACCCAUCAGGAGAUGAUGGUGACAGGGAAUUGAGUGGUAGGAAUGACAAUGGGAAGAGAUGAGCGGAAUCCAGGUAUUUGUGGGUAGAAGUGGCAGGUGUGGCUACUUAUUGGAGAUGGGGCUGUAGAGCUGUGAAGGUGUGAGUCCUUUACUUAUCCAUCUUAAGGGUCACGGCCAACACUCCUAUAACAAAAGACACAUUAACAAGAGAAAAACAGAGCAAAUUUAUUUAAUCCAAGUUUUAUGUGACAUGGGAGGCUUCAGAAAUGACAACCCAAAGGCCCAGGGAAAACUGUUAAUUUUUAUGCUUAGAUUAGAUGAAGAAUGGACAGCCAGAUAGAAAUGUGAUUGGACAAACGGGUAUGACCUACUGGGAACAGACUGAAAGGGGACCCAGCAAAACAGUCUGCUCAGAUUCUUCUCAGCCUCUCUGUGUAGCCUCCAUUCCUCCUGGGUAUGGGGCGGGACCCUUUCUGAAAUGAGAGUUUUCAAAGGAGAAGGAGAAGAUAGAGAGUGACCUUUCUAGGUUUUAUGGUUUGCUUUAGCAGGAGGGUUUCUAGGUUCUAUGACCCAUCUUGAGGAAGAUAAAUUCUGGUUUCUGUGACUCACUUUGGAGGAUGAAGGCAAGCAGAAGAGAGGGUCUGAGGAGGUUGGAAAGACCUUGCUUCUGAGUUCCUUCCAAUGUCCUUCAGUUCAAAAUACUCAGGCUGAGGCACCACGCUUUGGGGUGUCAUGUUCUAAGCCCCGACAGCAUAAGGGCAGCAUUGAGACAGCCUUUGCAGCCUGGCCUGCAUAAUGGACAGACGCUAGUGCAAUCCAUAGGGUUGGAAAUGUGGAGGGAUAACUGAAUGGCGAUGCCGGGAGCCUUGAGUUCAGUGUUGGACACAUUGAGUGUAAAGUGCCUUUGAGACACCCAAGUAGGCUGUUGGAAAUAACCAGCCUGGAGCUGAGAGGUCAGGUUGAAAAGCAGUGUCUGGACGGCAGGUGGGCCCUUGGCCAUGAAUUAGACCACCAAGGAGAGCAAAGUGAGAAGUCAAGAGGACCUAGUAGGGCCCCUGAAAACUCCAAAUGGCCAAGAAGAGGCAAAGAGCUACAAACAAUCCUGAGAGGGGGCCGAGGGCAGAGCCACCUGGAGGGAAUGUUCAUCAAAGUCACACCCUGCCCCUGCAUCCGCCCCUCACUCUGCACAUGGGAGCUCAAGAAGCCAAGGGGCUUGCUCUGUACCCGGGUCACCCAGCUUCAUCCUGGGCAAAAUGAGAUCACAGUCCCCGACUCUCAUUUGCCCUCUUUUCUGCUUUUGUUUUUUUUUUUUUUUUCUUUUAUGCUCUUUUUCAUUUUUUUCUGGGUACACAUUAGGUGCAUAUAUAUGUGAGGUACAUGAGAUGUUUUGAUACAGACAUGCACUGUGAAAUAAGCACAUCAUGGAGAAUGAGGUGUCCAUCCCUGAAGCAUUUAUCCUUUCUUUCUUUCUUUCUUUUUUUUUUUGAGAUGGAGUCCAGCUCUGUUACCCAGGCUGGAGUGCAAUGGCGUGAUCUCUGCUCACUGCAAGCUCCGCCCCCCAGGUUCAUGCCAUUCUCCUGCCUCAGCCUCUUGAGCAGCUGGGACUACAGGUGCCCGCCACCAUGCCAGGCUAAUUUUUUUUGUAUUUUUAGUAGAGAUGGGGUUUCACAGUGUUCACGGGGAUGCUCUCGAUCUCCUGACCUCAUGAUCCGCCCACUUCGGCCUCCCAAAGUGCUGGGAUUACAGGCCUGAGCCACUGCACCCGGCACAUUUAUCCUUUCUAAUACCAACAAUCUAAUUACAGUCUUUUAGUUAUUUGUAAAUGUGCAAUUAUUAAUGACUACAGUCAUCCUGCUGUGUGAUCAAACAGUAUAUCUUAUUCAUUCUUUCUAACAUCAUCCCCACCUGCCCUCAGCCCCCCACUCCUCUUCCCAGCCUCUGGUAACCACCUUUCUGCUCUCUAGCUCCAUGAGUUGAACUGUUUUGAUUUUUAGAUCCCACAAAUCAGUGAGAACACGCAAUGUGUGUCUUUCUGUGCCUGGCUUGUUUCACUUAACAUAAUGACCUCCCAUUCCAUCCAUACCAUUUUCUGCUUUUGUACAAGGCAUCAAGGCAUAAAAAGCAGGGCAAUGGGACUCAAUGGAUUUUCCACGCUGCUCUAACACACUACUGCAAACCUGGCAGCUUCAAACAACACAGAUGUAUUCUCUCAUAGUUCUGGAGGUCACAAAUCCAAAACGAGUCUUCCUGGACUAAAACUGAGGUGUUGCCAGGACCCUUGGUAAAAGCCCUAGAGGAGAAUCCAUUCCUUGCCUCUUUGGUGGCUGCUGGCAUUGUGAAUUGUGGGCACAUCACUCCAAUCUCUGCCUCCACGGUCGCAUCACCUUCUCUUCUGUAGUCGAAUCUCCUCUGCCUCCCUCUUCAUCUAUAAGGACACUUUGUGAUUACAUUGCGUAUCCACACAGAUAACCCACGAUAGUCUCCCCGUCGCAAAUCUUUGAAGUAAUCUCAUCCACAGAGUCUCUUCUGCCAACAUCCCAUUCACUAGUUCUGGAGGUUAGGACGUGGACAUCUUUGGGGGUUAUCAUUCCCCCUUUCACAGGCUAUCUGGGCUGUAUACAGAACCAGAGAUCUGAGAAUCAUCUUGGCGGCCUCACUCUGUGAGCAGAGAAACGUGUCUGUGCUCAGCAGCAAUCCCUGGAGGCAGAGACUGGAAAUUACACCUGCAACCGUAGUAAGAGCUUGCCAGGGGCCGGAAUGGGUGCCAUAACUAGAGCUGUACAGGCAUCCACCUCAAUUCUCUCAGCGGCCCUUUGAGGUCGCUCUCUUACUGCCACCAAGGUGCAGGGUGGUGAAGUUAACUCAGAGCAGAGACCUGGCCUCGAAGCCUCGUCUCCCUGGGGAACAACCAAUCAGCAGGAACCUGAACACAAGCACGAGAGGCAAUCCGAGCCCUUCCCCAAAGCCUCACUCUUCAUUCACUCUGGCUGGAAUCCUGCCCUCCCUUCAGGGCCAAGCUUAGGGAACAAGGAGCAACCAGAUCCUACCUCCAAGGACAGAGCCCUUACAUAUUUCUGCAAUCUGUCUGCAGCUGAUGGUCUGAAUGAGCAUCGUGUCAUCACAGCACUUGUAAAUUUUGGAGGGGCUCCUCCACACUGAGGGAAUAUGCUUGUUCAGGGAAGGGCACACUCCCCCAUUUCUCCCGGAACCACACUUCUGCCGUGGGACCCUGAGAACACAAGGGCCCUCCCCUUGCCCUGUUGCUUCAUGUGGCUUAGUCUUGCUUAACAAACAUGCUAGGUGUGGAGGCUGAGGCCUACAUGUAGUGUUGAGGGCAAGCAGGGACCGCCUGGAAAUGCUGAAAGCAUUCUCUUAAAGUGAGGCCUUCCCAUCAUGAUUGCUAGGCCCAUGAUGAGAAGAUAUUGCAGGAAAGCACGACCUGGACCAUAGAAAGGGCAGAUCAAUGUGUGGGCCUUUAUGUGCUUAUCCCUCCCACCACCCUGCUGCAGACCCCACCCACACUCAAGCUUAGCCCCUGUGGCUUGGAACCCAAGGACGCUUCUGAGCUGAGGCAGACUUCAGGGAGUACUAGUUAGGAUAGGUCAGCUGCAAGUAACAAACAAACAAACAAAAUACGCAGCAAACUCUGGCCCUCAGGGCCAAAUUCAGCCCACCAUCUAUUUUUAUAAGUAAAGUUUUAUUGGAACAUAGGUGUACCCAUUCAUUUACACAUUGUCUAUGGUUGUUUUUAGGGUUGUAGUGCCAACAGAGAUCUCAUGGCCCACACAGAGCCUAAAAUGUUUUCCAUGUGGCCCUUUAUGGAAAAAGUUCGCCCACCCCUGGCUUGAACAAUGACAACAUUGAAUUAUCUGCCAUCACAAGAACUCCAGAGGAAGGUGGCUCCAGGGUCACACGAAGGCUCAGCAAAGUCCUCGAGGCCCCAGGCUCCUGUUCCCUCCUUGGCAGGAAGGAGUGAUUGGCUGCUGGUCCUGCCCUGUCCGAGGAGGAGGACGGAACCCACCCACCAAGCUGUGGAGAGGUGGACCCCACAAAUCCCCUCGCAAGCCACGUCUGAGAGUGAGCAGAGGGAAGAAACUCAAGCGUUUGUAGUCCUCUUUCUUAACAACCAGGCUUAAAGCGUCAUCUUGUGUCUUGAAGGCAGAAGGAGAUCAGGAUGUGUGUGCUAGAAGCAGGCAGAGGAUCUUCACCAAUGUCUCAAAAACUAGAGAAGGAAACAUGGCGAUCCUCAAGGCCCGCGGCAGCCCCAGCCCUUCCCGCACCCUGCGAUAGUCUGGUGUUGGGAGGGUGGCCCACGUGUCCAAGCAACCACAUCAGGGAGGUUCCGGGAGAGGAGAAGGCAAAGCUCAUGCCCUCAUGAGGCAGGCAGUCCCAUCCAGGACUGGACUGGAUGAGCACCAAUAAAUAAGAAAACACAGCUGGCAGCUGACUGUGAAGGGUCUGGACAGGGUGCCGAAGUGAAGCGUAAUGAGCUGGAUAGUGAGGACUUCACUACAGAGGGACAUCUAUCUACACACAGCCUGAAGGGUGAGAAAGAUGGAUCCUUGCCCUGAGCCAGAAGUGCACACCCCAGAGAGAGCAGCUCCUGCGGAGGUCCUGUGGGGCAGGCAUGGUAGGAAUAUUAAAGAGAAGAAGCCAGGUGUGGCUGCAGCCAUGCAGGAGGAAGGGCGAUGGGGUUGGGGAGGCAGAGGAUGGGACUGGCAUGAGAAGAUGGAGAUGCAGAGCCCAGAUCGUGAUAGCCCCAAUAGUCCACGGGUAGGAGUUUGUAUUUUCUACUAAAAGCAAUGGGAGGGCGGGGCGCGGUAGCUCAUGCCUAUAAUUCCAGCACUUUGGGAGGCCGAGGCGGGUGGAUCACCUGAGGUCAGGAGUUCGAGAACAGCCUGACCAACAUGGUGAAACCCCAUCUUUACUAAAAGUACAAAAAUUAGACAAGUGUUAUGGCGCGCGCCUGUAAUCCCAGCUACUCAGGAGGCUGAGGCAGGAGAAUCGCUUGAACCCAGGAGGCGGAGGUUGCAGUGAGCUGAGAUCAUGCCAUUGCACUCCAGCCUGGGUGACAAGAGCGAAACUCGGCCUCAAAAAAAGGGAGGGGGGGCAAUGGGAAACCAUUGAAUCGUUUUUAGCAGGUGGCCUGAUUUGAUUUACAUUUUUUAGACAUGUAGCUUCACUAUCAUGGUUAUGGUGGUCCGUGCAUUACUAACAUUGCUAAAACCACCAUCAUGCCAGAAUUACCCUCCCAUUUGUGGGUUAAAACACUGCACCCAUCUGUCCCUCCCCAGAGUCCUCUUAGUGGCUGCUCUUAGGAGGAACUAACAUGGACUACAUUCCCCCAUCACACCCAGCACAAGUGCCCUCCCAGCCUCCCCCACCCAACUCAGUCCCAUUCACACGCGGCAUGCCAGGGACUCUCCCAUCAGGGGAACACCCUGUAACUCCCAAGUUCCUCCAAAGCCUCUUGAGAGGGACCAUGGUGCCCUGCAGGGAGUGGGUCCUGGUGGGUCCAGUGGAGGGAACGUCCUUGCUGAAACUGGCUGGGUCUUAGCCGGGAAGUGGUGACAGGUAUCUCUCACAUACGCUACGGGAACCCAGCGCAGCCAAUGGAGUCCAAUCAGCACACCUUGCGCCCACCCCUUCGUUUGGUAACUUGAGGCCACUGCCCACCCGCCAGGUACCCUCUCUCAAGCGUGCCCUGAAGUUCAGGGAAAGACGCCAGCACCCCCUGCUGGUUGCGCUCUCCCAUAGCAGGGCUCACAUUUUGGGAGAAAGAAAUCAGCUGUUAGCAGCUUUCGUUCUUCACCAUGUUAAGCAAAGCACAACAUUUUAUAACUGGGUGAAAAGCCAGAUAUUCUGUCAGCUGAUUUGAUUGUUCUGUACGCAUAUCCCUAAGCCAUUGUUUGACGGAUAUUUUUACUGAGUUGACUUUCUUCAUAAGAUGAUAGGACUAAUGAAGAGAAAAGGCAAUGGAGUUUUUAAAACCAGCGUGAUGAACCAAAUGCUGCCACUGACUAGCUAUGUACAUGUAAUCCAAAGGUUCCCUCCGUUGAAACAAAAUAACAGUGCUUACCUAACCAGGUCAGCUGUGAGCUGGGACUUCACAGACAGGCAUAGAGAGACAUGGAUGCAGGAAGGGCUUCCUUAGCUGAGAGGGUCGUGAAACUGGAAGGUAGUAGCAAGCAUUUUCCAGUUGGAUCUUUUGGCCGACAUUUGUAGUGGGGAGACAAACAUGUCUAAUUUUCCCCCCACCCCGGCACAUGGGCAGGUAGGAAGAUGCUGGUGGGUUUGGUUCGACAGUUUGGAGAAUGUCUUGUGGAAGGGGUGCUUUUUUUAAUGCACACUCAGGCACCAUGGGAGCCUGUUGUCACCCUGGAUAUCUAGCUCCAUGCCCUUGCCCUUUCACUCUGCCUCGACAAGAGUCAUGGCACCCAAAAUACAUGAGUUCAAAUCUGAGUUUCACAGGCUCAGGGAGGAACCCAAGCUACCAAAUGCACAGGCCCCUCCUGUAUACGGUUACAGCAGGUAAGGGAGUAACUUACUCAGUGCAAGCUGCUGUAACAAAAUAGCACAAGCUGGGUGGCUAAUCAACAACAGGCAUUUAUUUCUCACAGGUCUGGAGGCUGGAAGCCCAAGAUCAGGGUGCCAGUGCUGGCAUGGUUGGGUUCUGGUGAGGGCCCUCUUCCAGGUCACAGACAGCUGUCUUCUCAUUGCAUCCUCACAUGACAGAAAAGAAGUGCACAAGCUCUCUGGCCCCCUCUUACAGGCGCUAAUCCCAUUCACAACGGUCCUACCAUCAUGACCUCAUUACCUCCCAAAGACGACACCUCCAAAUACCACCACAUUGCCAUUAAGCUUCAACAUAUGAAUUUAAGGGGGAAACAAACAUCCAGUCCAUUGCAGAUUGUUCUGAUAAUAUGUGUGCCCAGGGCAUUGCCCCCACAGCAAAGAGCGACAUUGGAAGGCAAACCAAUGUCAGGUUUCCUAAUGUGCACGGAGUCAUCCCUGGAAGAGUGAGUCCGGUGAUCUUACCAGCUAAUUGCAUUGAGCUACCCCACCUUGGGGAUCUACCUGCCAAGGAGAACAGAACACCACUGGCUUUGAUACCCAUCUCUCAACAAUGAUGGAAGAAUGCUGGAAAUUUACCUGCUCUGGUAGCUCUCUCUAAGUUCAUCUUCCUUGUAUGGACUUUCUUUUUUUAUUGCUCUCAAAUACUUGUAUUAUUAAAUAUCUCAUUUAAAAUUUCUUUAAAAUACAUUAAAAGUACAUUUAAAGAGUA
This is a long non-coding RNA of Homo sapiens (human), 7615 nucleotides long. RefSeq lists it as uncharacterized. Lineage: Eukaryota; Metazoa; Chordata; Mammalia; Primates; Hominidae. The transcript is spliced from 2 exons. The record is from RefSeq and is a predicted model, not a curated record.